This 253-nucleotide ribosomal RNA is filed under the name uncultured bacterium. RNAcentral's name for it is "partial 16S ribosomal RNA". It matches the Rfam family "Bacterial small subunit ribosomal RNA", at positions 524 to 776 of the family's 1533-position model. The record is from RNAcentral.
UACAGAGGGGGCAAGCGUUGUUCGGAAUUACUGGGCGUAAAGGGCGCGUAGGUGGCCUUCUAAGUUGAACGUGAAAUCCCUGGGCUCAACCCAGGAACUGCGUCCAAGACUGGGAGGCUUGAAUCCGGGAGAGGGAUGCGGAAUUCCUGGUGUAGCGGUGGAAUGCGCAGAUAUCAGGAGGAACACCGAUGGCGAAGGCAGGUCUCUGGGCCGCAACUGACGCUGAGGAGCGAAAGCAUGGGGAGCGAACAGG